UACGUAGGGGGCAAGCGUUGUCCGGAAUUAUUGGGCGUAAAGGGCACGCAGGCGGUUUCCUAAGUCUGAUGUGAAAGCCCACGGCUUAACCGUGGAGGGUCAUUGGAAACUGGGAAGCUUGAGUGCAGGAGAGGAGAGCGGAAUUCCACGUGUAGCGGUGAAAUGCGUAGAUAUGUGGAGGAACACCAGUGGCGAAGGCGGCUCUCUGGCCUGAUACUGACGCUGAGGUGCGAAAGCGUGGGGAGCGAACAGG
Molecule: unclassified non-coding RNA, 253 nt
Filed under: uncultured Bacillaceae bacterium
Lineage: Bacteria; Bacillati; Bacillota; Bacilli; Caryophanales; Bacillaceae
Description: contains 16S-23S intergenic spacer region
Rfam family: Bacterial small subunit ribosomal RNA
Source: RNAcentral